GACGAACGCUGGCGGCGUGCUUAACACAUGCAAGUCGAACGGAAAGACCCUGCUUUUGUGGGGUGCUCGAGUGGCGAACGGGUGAGUAACACGUGAGUAACCUGCCCUUGACUUUGGGAUAACUUCAGGAAACUGGGGCUAAUACCGGAUAGGAGCUCCUGCUGCAUGGUGGGGGUUGGAAAGUUUCGGCGGUUGGGGAUGGACUCGCGGCUUAUCAGCUUGUUGGUGGGGUAGUGGCUUACCAAGGCUUUGACGGGUAGCCGGCCUGAGAGGGUGACCGGCCACAUUGGGACUGAGAUACGGCCCAGACUCCUACGGGAGGCAGCAGUGGGGAAUAUUGCACAAUGGGCGGAAGCCUGAUGCAGCAACGCCGCGUGCGGGAUGACGGCCUUCGGGUUGUAAACCGCUUUCGCCUGUGACGAAGCGUGGGUGACGGUAAUGGGCAAAGAAGCACCGGCUAACUACGUG
RNAcentral lists this ribosomal RNA (468 nucleotides) under uncultured bacterium. RNAcentral describes it as "partial 16S ribosomal RNA". It matches the Rfam family "Bacterial small subunit ribosomal RNA", at positions 28 to 507 of the family's 1533-position model. The record is from RNAcentral.